UUUACGCUGAAAAUGCAAGUAUAUGGAUUGUGAACACGACCAUGCAGACUACUAAAUUUUGUAACAUGGACUAUGUAAACAGUACAACAGCUCAAUACACAAAUUUUUCAAGAAUAUAUUUCUUUGGAAACACCGUGCGAAGAGAUGACCUACAAGGAAUCUUUACGCUGCGCAACGGAAAAAGAAACAAUGACACGAUAUAUAAUACAAUGGUCGUGCGCCGGCAAGACGGCACUGGCGGCAACACAUCAAUUGAGACACUAAUGUACCCCUCCCAAAAUUAUGAAUGCGGCGUCUUUGCUGUAUUUCUCCUGCCAAAAUACACAGGGCCUUACUAUGAUAUCCGUGUGAAGCAAGAAACAAUUAAACAUCUCGAUUCGAGCUGCGUACGUUAUUAUCAGCGGCUGACGGAAGGAAAGACAAUCAGAACCACAUAUAAUCAUUCUUGCCAGGACACGCGGUAGCAGUGCGUAAGUAGAGGGUGCUACACGUAACUUGAUUGAAAUAAUA
Rhipicephalus sanguineus (brown dog tick) is the source of this 510-nucleotide long non-coding RNA. RefSeq lists it as uncharacterized. The transcript is spliced from 4 exons. The record is from RefSeq and is a predicted model, not a curated record. Lineage: Eukaryota; Metazoa; Arthropoda; Arachnida; Ixodida; Ixodidae.